This 65-nucleotide transfer RNA is filed under the name Dipodomys ordii (Ord's kangaroo rat). It matches the Rfam family "tRNA". From Rfam's summary of the family: Transfer RNA (tRNA) molecules are approximately 80 nucleotides in length. Their secondary structure includes four short double-helical elements and three loops (D, anti-codon, and T loops). Further hydrogen bonds mediate the characteristic L-shaped molecular structure. tRNAs have two regions of fundamental functional importance: the anti-codon, which is responsible for specific mRNA codon recognition, and the 3' end, to which the tRNAs corresponding amino acid is attached (by aminoacyl-tRNA synthetases). tRNAs cope with the degeneracy of the genetic code in two manners: having more than one tRNA (with a specific anti-codon) for a particular amino acid; and 'wobble' base-pairing, i.e. permitting non-standard base-pairing at the 3rd anti-codon position. Lineage: Eukaryota; Metazoa; Chordata; Mammalia; Rodentia; Heteromyidae. The record is from Rfam by way of RNAcentral.
GGUGGCUCAGUGGUAGAGUGCUUGUAUUGGAUGCAUGAGGUCCUGGGUUCGAUUCCUCAGCACCA